GACGAACCGUGCGAACGUUGUUCGGAAUCACUGGGCUUAAAGCGCACGUAGGCGGAUUGUUAAGUCAGGGGUGAAAUCCUGGAGCUCAACUCCAGAACUGCCUUUGAUACUGGCGAUCUUGAGUCCGGGAGAGGUGAGUGGAACUGCGAGUGUAGAGGUGAAAUUCGUAGAUAUUCGCAAGAACACCAGUGGCGAAGGCGGCUCACUGGCCCGGUACUGACGCUGAGGUGCGAAAGCGUGGGGAGCAAACAGG
Molecule: ribosomal RNA, 253 nt
Filed under: uncultured bacterium
Lineage: Bacteria
Description: partial 16S ribosomal RNA
Rfam family: Bacterial small subunit ribosomal RNA
Source: RNAcentral